This 550-nucleotide long non-coding RNA is filed under the name Rattus norvegicus (Norway rat). RNAcentral's name for it is "long non-coding RNA NONRATT006573". The record is from RNAcentral. Lineage: Eukaryota; Metazoa; Chordata; Mammalia; Rodentia; Muridae.
AGAAGUGUUGGGAGCACCAUUUUUGAUGGAGGACCCAGCAAACCAAUUCCUACGCCUAAAAAGACAAGUGGUACACUUGCAAGAUUUCUGGGGCCCAGAUCACCACCCAGAUGAGAAGGAAAUAUCACUGGCUGAUGAGGCUUGGGAAACAUGGACUUCUUUGAAAGCAAGUGCACACCGCUAUUUUGACACAAACACAUUGGCCUUUGAUAUAUCUGCUGUCCCAUAAAUGGACUUGAGUGUUGCAAAGGGAAGAACAAAAAUGGUAGGAGUUGGGACCACAGUGUGCUCAAACCACAGGCUUGGAGAGACGGGAAGACCGAAUGUGGCCUUCGCUAUAUUAUUUAUUAUGCCUAACUCACAGACACUAUGAACGAAACAAUGGUGAAAACCCUUGCAGACAUCUGGAUGAAAUUGGAAAUUCUCCAUAAAUGCCCAUUCUUGAGAAAGAGCAUAAAGUCUAAAGUAAAAGCAUUUACCCAAAGAAGGGCUUUUCUGAAAAAGGGGAUGCAAACUUCAACAAAUAGUGCCAUUAAAACAUUCUGCUCAC